This 2930-nucleotide ribosomal RNA is filed under the name Escherichia coli. Its description in RNAcentral is "23S ribosomal RNA". It matches the Rfam family "Bacterial large subunit ribosomal RNA". The record is from RNAcentral. Lineage: Bacteria; Pseudomonadati; Pseudomonadota; Gammaproteobacteria; Enterobacterales; Enterobacteriaceae.
GGGUUGUGAGGUUAAGCGACUAAGCGUACACGGUGGAUGCCCUGGCAGUCAGAGGCGAUGAAGGACGUGCUAAUCUGCGAUAAGCGUCGGUAAGGUGAUAUGAACCGUUAUAACCGGCGAUUUCCGAAUGGGGAAACCCAGUGUGAUUCGUCACACUAUCAUUAACUGAAUCCAUAGGUUAAUGAGGCGAACCGGGGGAACUGAAACAUCUAAGUACCCCGAGGAAAAGAAAUCAACCGAGAUUCCCCCAGUAGCGGCGAGCGAACGGGGAGCAGCCCAGAGCCUGAAUCAGUGUGUGUGUUAGUGGAAGCGUCUGGAAAGGCGUGCGAUACAGGGUGACAGCCCCGUACACAAAAAUGCACAUGCUGUGAGCUCGAUGAGUAGGGCGGGACACGUGGUAUCCUGUCUGAAUAUGGGGGGACCAUCCUCCAAGGCUAAAUACUCCUGACUGACCGAUAGUGAACCAGUACCGUGAGGGAAAGGCGAAAAGAACCCCGGCGAGGGGAGUGAAAAAGAACCUGAAACCGUGUACGUACAAGCAGUGGGAGCACGCUUAGGCGUGUGACUGCGUACCUUUUGUAUAAUGGGUCAGCGACUUAUAUUCUGUAGCAAGGUUAACCGAAUAGGGGAGCCGAAGGGAAACCGAGUCUUAACUGGGCGUUAAGUUGCAGGGUAUAGACCCGAAACCCGGUGAUCUAGCCAUGGGCAGGUUGAAGGUUGGGUAACACUAACUGGAGGACCGAACCGACUAAUGUUGAAAAAUUAGCGGAUGACUUGUGGCUGGGGGUGAAAGGCCAAUCAAACCGGGAGAUAGCUGGUUCUCCCCGAAAGCUAUUUAGGUAGCGCCUCGUGAAUUCAUCUCCGGGGGUAGAGCACUGUUUCGGCAAGGGGGUCAUCCCGACUUACCAACCCGAUGCAAACUGCGAAUACCGGAGAAUGUUAUCACGGGAGACACACGGCGGGUGCUAACGUCCGUCGUGAAGAGGGAAACAACCCAGACCGCCAGCUAAGGUCCCAAAGUCAUGGUUAAGUGGGAAACGAUGUGGGAAGGCCCAGACAGCCAGGAUGUUGGCUUAGAAGCAGCCAUCAUUUAAAGAAAGCGUAAUAGCUCACUGGUCGAGUCGGCCUGCGCGGAAGAUGUAACGGGGCUAAACCAUGCACCGAAGCUGCGGCAGCGACGCUUAUGCGUUGUUGGGUAGGGGAGCGUUCUGUAAGCCUGCGAAGGUGUGCUGUGAGGCAUGCUGGAGGUAUCAGAAGUGCGAAUGCUGACAUAAGUAACGAUAAAGCGGGUGAAAAGCCCGCUCGCCGGAAGACCAAGGGUUCCUGUCCAACGUUAAUCGGGGCAGGGUGAGUCGACCCCUAAGGCGAGGCCGAAAGGCGUAGUCGAUGGGAAACAGGUUAAUAUUCCUGUACUUGGUGUUACUGCGAAGGGGGGACGGAGAAGGCUAUGUUGGCCGGGCGACGGUUGUCCCGGUUUAAGCGUGUAGGCUGGUUUUCCAGGCAAAUCCGGAAAAUCAAGGCUGAGGCGUGAUGACGAGGCACUACGGUGCUGAAGCAACAAAUGCCCUGCUUCCAGGAAAAGCCUCUAAGCAUCAGGUAACAUCAAAUCGUACCCCAAACCGACACAGGUGGUCAGGUAGAGAAUACCAAGGCGCUUGAGAGAACUCGGGUGAAGGAACUAGGCAAAAUGGUGCCGUAACUUCGGGAGAAGGCACGCUGAUAUGUAGGUGAAGUCCCUCGCGGAUGGAGCUGAAAUCAGUCGAAGAUACCAGCUGGCUGCAACUGUUUAUUAAAAACACAGCACUGUGCAAACACGAAAGUGGACGUAUACGGUGUGACGCCUGCCCGGUGCCGGAAGGUUAAUUGAUGGGGUUAGCGCAAGCGAAGCUCUUGAUCGAAGCCCCGGUAAACGGCGGCCGUAACUAUAACGGUCCUAAGGUAGCGAAAUUCCUUGUCGGGUAAGUUCCGACCUGCACGAAUGGCGUAAUGAUGGCCAGGCUGUCUCCACCCGAGACUCAGUGAAAUUGAACUCGCUGUGAAGAUGCAGUGUACCCGCGGCAAGACGGAAAGACCCCGUGAACCUUUACUAUAGCUUGACACUGAACAUUGAGCCUUGAUGUGUAGGAUAGGUGGGAGGCUUUGAAGUGUGGACGCCAGUCUGCAUGGAGCCGACCUUGAAAUACCACCCUUUAAUGUUUGAUGUUCUAACGUUGACCCGUAAUCCGGGUUGCGGACAGUGUCUGGUGGGUAGUUUGACUGGGGCGGUCUCCUCCUAAAGAGUAACGGAGGAGCACGAAGGUUGGCUAAUCCUGGUCGGACAUCAGGAGGUUAGUGCAAUGGCAUAAGCCAGCUUGACUGCGAGCGUGACGGCGCGAGCAGGUGCGAAAGCAGGUCAUAGUGAUCCGGUGGUUCUGAAUGGAAGGGCCAUCGCUCAACGGAUAAAAGGUACUCCGGGGAUAACAGGCUGAUACCGCCCAAGAGUUCAUAUCGACGGCGGUGUUUGGCACCUCGAUGUCGGCUCAUCACAUCCUGGGGCUGAAGUAGGUCCCAAGGGUAUGGCUGUUCGCCAUUUAAAGUGGUACGCGAGCUGGGUUUAGAACGUCGUGAGACAGUUCGGUCCCUAUCUGCCGUGGGCGCUGGAGAAUUGAGGGGGGCUGCUCCUAGUACGAGAGGACCGGAGUGGACGCAUCACUGGUGUUCGGGUUGUCAUGCCAAUGGCACUGCCCGGUAGCUAAAUGCGGAAGAGAUAAGUGCUGAAAGCAUCUAAGCACGAAACUUGCCCCGAGAUGAGUUCUCCCUGACUCCUUGAGAGUCCUGAAGGAACGUUGAAGACGACGACGUUGAUAGGCCGGGUGUGUAAGCGCAGCGAUGCGUUGAGCUAACCGGUACUAAUGAACCGUGAGGCUUAACCUUACAACGCCGAAGCUGUU